Molecule: transfer RNA, 72 nt
Filed under: Bos taurus (domestic cattle)
Lineage: Eukaryota; Metazoa; Chordata; Mammalia; Artiodactyla; Bovidae
Also listed under: 2 other names
Rfam family: tRNA
About the family: Transfer RNA (tRNA) molecules are approximately 80 nucleotides in length. Their secondary structure includes four short double-helical elements and three loops (D, anti-codon, and T loops).
Source: Rfam by way of RNAcentral
UCCCUGGUGGCUCAGACGGUAAAGUGUCUGUCUGCAAUGCAGGAGACCCGGGUUUGAUCCCUGGUUUGGGAA